UACGUAGGGAGCAAGCGUUGUCCGGAAUCAUUGGGCGUAAAGCGCGCGUAGGCGGCCUCAUAAGUCCGUUGUGAAAGUCAAAGGCUCAACCUUUGAAAGCCGAUGGAUACUGUGAGGCUAGAGUUCGGAAGAGGCGAGUGGAAUUCCUGGUGUAGCGGUGAAAUGCGCAGAUAUCAGGAGGAACACCAAUGGCGAAGGCAGCUCGCUGGGACGGUACUGACACUGAGACGCGAAAGCGUGGGGAGCAAACAGG
RNAcentral lists this ribosomal RNA (253 nucleotides) under uncultured bacterium. RNAcentral's name for it is "partial 16S ribosomal RNA". It matches the Rfam family "Bacterial small subunit ribosomal RNA", at positions 524 to 776 of the family's 1533-position model. The record is from RNAcentral.